CUCAGUUCGGAUUGGAGUCUGCAACCCGACUCCAUGAAGCUGGAUUCGCUAGUAAUCGCGCAUCAGCCACGGCGCGGUGAAUACGUUCCCGGGCCUUGUACACACCGCCCGUCAAGCCAUGGGAGCCGGGGGUACCUGAAGUGCGUGACCGCAAGGAGCGCCCUAAGGUAAAACCGGUGACUGGGGCUAAGUCGUAACAAGGUAUC
This 206-nucleotide ribosomal RNA is filed under the name uncultured bacterium. RNAcentral's name for it is "partial 16S ribosomal RNA". It matches the Rfam family "Bacterial small subunit ribosomal RNA", at positions 1287 to 1500 of the family's 1533-position model. The record is from RNAcentral.